This 2150-nucleotide ribosomal RNA is filed under the name Euglena polymorpha. RNAcentral describes it as "SSU rRNA". It matches the Rfam family "Eukaryotic small subunit ribosomal RNA". The record is from RNAcentral. Lineage: Eukaryota; Euglenozoa; Euglenophyceae; Euglenales; Euglenaceae.
AUGCAUGUCUCAGCGCACACGGUCAAAACAGUUGGUCUGUGAAUGGCUCCUUACAUCAGUAGUCAUCUCCGUGAUAGAGUGUGGAUGGUGCCGAUGCCAGGGCACCCAAGGGAUAUCCUCUGCAACCCAGUGGCUAAUACCCGUCUGCCAAGGUCUGCCACACACGGUGUGUCAGCGAUCCUGCUGCCUCAUGGUGGUGGAUUGCGCCCAGCUGCUGUUAAGACCGGCGCCUGGGAAAGGCAGUGUGUUGGUUGACUCAGGCUGGUCCCUUGGGGACACCUGUGCUGGCUGGAGAGUGGCUUGCCACCCAUGCUUGAUCACACGAACUUCUGACCUAUCAGCCUUGACUGUGGUGUAGUGGACCACAGUGGCAAUCACGGGUAACGGAGAAUUUGGGUUCGAUUCCGGAGAGGGAGCCUGAGAGACGGCUACCACUACCAAGGUGGGCAGCAGGCGCGCAAAUUGCCCAAUACAGAAACACACCUGUGAGGCAGCGACGAACUGCAGCAAUUCUGCCAGCAACAUUGUUGGUGGAACUUGGAAUGGAUGCAAUCCAAACACCGUGAUGAGUAUCAACUGGAGGGCAAGUCUGGUGCCAGCAGCUGCGGUAAUUCCAGCUCCAAGGGCGUAUACUGACAUUGCUGCUGUUAAAGCGCUUGUAGUCUGCCACUGGGAUUCAGGUCUGCCAGGUGGCUGGUGGGCUGUGGGCAUGGGCACUGCCUCGCGCAGGGCCCGGCUCGCAGUCUGCUGGAACACAACCCCUGGCAGUAUGCUCCUGAUCCCGUUCCAAGGAUGGUGAGACCUGCUCCCGCAUUGAAGUCUCCUUCAGUGGAGAUCAAGGCAGUGAUGCACCCUACCCUUGCUAGUGACGGUCCUGGGAUGCGGCCCUGUGCCUGCAUAACAAACCCUGUCACACUACAGGAGUCCACCAUCGGUGACACCGUGGAAAACUCAGUGUGCUCAAAGCAACCAGUCCUGGCUGAAUGCCUAUCCAUGGAAUGUCAAAGGAUCGACCAAAUGUGGCCAUUGAGAGUUGUGCCGGGCCUUGGAGCCCAUUGCUGGAGAACCUGGUGUGAUUGUACCCUGGCUCGUUCCCCGAGGGCAUCCUCGUGAUGUUCCCGAAGGGCUUGUCGGUGGUGGCAUGCAUCGACCGGAGACGAGGGGAUCCCUCAGGGUGAAAGAUACUGCAACGCCAGAGGUGAAAUUCUUAGACCGCUGCCUGAUCAACUGCAGCGAAGGCGUUCUGCAAGCCUGUGUCCGUCGAUCAAGAACGAGAGUUUGGGGAGCGAAGAUGAUCAGACACCGUCGUAGUCCAACACUGUAAACCAUGCCAGCUAGGCCCUGGUGGAGCAAGUAACCGGACUCCAUCGGAGCCACCCCCAACGAGAAAUCCCAAGCCUUUGGGUUCAGGGGGGAGUACUGUCGCAAGGCUGAAACUUAAAGGAAUUGACGGAAUGGCACCACAAGGCGUGGAGUAUGCGGCUUAAUUUGACUCAACACGGGGAAUGUUACCAGGUCAGGACGUUGCUUGGAUGGACAGAUUGAGAGCUCUUUCUUGAUCCCUCGGAUGGUGGUGCAUGGCCGCUCCUGAUUGGUGGAGUGAUCUGUCUGGUUGAUUCCGUUAACGAGUGAGAUAUCUGCCUCCCAAUAGCCCCAGUCUCGUGCUUGUAGGGUCUGGACGGUGGGAAAUUCACUCCCUGCUGUGUGGGUUACACCCACGCACGAAAAGGGUUCCCACUCGUCCCCCGAGAGGUCUGGGCCAAGCUUCUCUGAGGUGCUGUGUGCGCCAAGUGCAAGCAUGCCAGAGCCAACAGCAGGUCUGUGAUGCUCCCAGAUGUCCUGGGCCGCACGCGCACUACAUUGAUGCAGUGAAUGUGUUACCCUCCCUGGUGGAGGCCUUGUCCAGAAGUGGAUGGGAAACCCUGCAAGUUUGCACUGUACUGGGGAUAGAUGCUUGCAACUGUCUGCCUUGAACGAGGAAUGCCUAGUAUGCGCAGGUCAUCAGCCUGCACCGAUUGUGUCCCUGCCAUUUGUACACACCGCCCGUCGUUGCUACCGAUGACAGCAGGAUAGAGCCAUCAGGAGGCCAAGGGCUACCUUCGGUGCCCCAGUCGAAAUUGGGCAAUGUCCUGCUGUUAGAGGAAGCAAAA